AUUAACCACAAAACCUUAGCUUCUUUCCAUUUCAAUGGCAGAACCUCAAACACAACCCACCCAUGUAGCUAUUUUACCCAGUCCCGGGAUGGGUCACCUCAUCCCGCUUGUUGAAUUAGCUAAGCGAAUCGUUUCUCAACAUAAUGAUCUCUUCAUCACCUUCAUUGUACCAACCGAUGGUUCUCCCUCUAAGGCCCAAAAAUUGGUUCUUGAAUCGCUUCCUACCACAAUAAGCUCCACAUUUCUCCCUCCGGUUGACCUGAGUGAUCUCCCUGAAGAUACUAAGAUAGAAACGGUAAUUUCCAUCACGGUGGCACGCUCGCUCCCAUCUGUUAGAGAUNNAUGUGUUAAAGUCUCUUGUUGAAAGCACUCGACUGGUUGCCCUGGUCGUUGAUCUCUUUGGCACGGAUGCAUUCGAUGUUGCUCGAGAAUUCAGCAUCUCUCCCUACAUUUCCUUCCCAUGUACCGGUAUACAGCCGGGUAUUUCCACUGGUUCUUCUAGCUCACUAUACUCGCAAGAAACCGUCUCAUCCAGCUUUGGCAACCUAAAGAACAGAGACAAAGUCAUAGCUGUAG
Molecule: unclassified non-coding RNA, 576 nt
Filed under: Hevea brasiliensis (rubber tree)
Lineage: Eukaryota; Viridiplantae; Streptophyta; Magnoliopsida; Malpighiales; Euphorbiaceae
Source: RNAcentral